This 247-nucleotide ribosomal RNA is filed under the name uncultured bacterium. RNAcentral's name for it is "partial 16S ribosomal RNA". It matches the Rfam family "Bacterial small subunit ribosomal RNA", at positions 530 to 776 of the family's 1533-position model. The record is from RNAcentral.
GGUCCCGAGCGUUGUUCGGAUUCAUUGGGCGUAAAGGAUGCGUAGGCGGCUUCCUAAGUUUGAUGUGAAAUCCUGGGGCUCAACCCUGGAACUGCAUUGAAUACUGGGAGGCUAGAGUACUGGAGAGGAAACUGGAAUUUACGGUGUAGCAGUGAAAUGCGUAGAGAUCGUAAGGAAGACCAGUGGCGAAGGCGAGUUUCUGGACAGUUACUGACGCUGAGGCACGAAGGCCAGGGGAGCAAACGGG